CCUGAUAGCUCAGUUGGUAAAGAAUCUGCCUGCAAUGCAGAAGACCCCAGUUUGAUUCCUGGGUUAGG
RNAcentral lists this transfer RNA (68 nucleotides) under Ovis aries (sheep). It matches the Rfam family "tRNA". Rfam says of the family: Transfer RNA (tRNA) molecules are approximately 80 nucleotides in length. Their secondary structure includes four short double-helical elements and three loops (D, anti-codon, and T loops). Lineage: Eukaryota; Metazoa; Chordata; Mammalia; Artiodactyla; Bovidae. The record is from Rfam by way of RNAcentral.